AUUUCAGGAGCCCUCCAGAAAGUCAGAUGCCUCCUGACUCAGCUAAUUUUUUCUUCACUUUCUGUGAUCAGAGAUGCAUACCUUCUUGGUUUCAUCACUGCUUAGCAUAGUGCAAGUAGCUCAGGCUUUUGAGGCAGAUGAACUCGGGUAUAAAAUCUAGCGCCGAUACUCAGGGCUGCCACAUUGCACAACUCCAGGGGGCACCACUCCAAGGUGGUUUAUGUAAAUAGAGCCUAGAUUAACAAGAGGCACUUAAUAAUUUGUUAGGAGUAGCAUCAACUACUGCUUUUUGAAUUUGGAAGCUGACAUGAGUGGAAUUUUUUCGUAGUGAGGACUCUGUGUUAAGAGCCUGUCUGGACAAGGAGAUGUAUGUAUGUGUAUCUAUUGCUUUAGUAAAUGUCAUAAAUGCACACAAUAAAAACUAUGUGAAUGUGGAUGCCACUACUUCAAAAGCUGUGGUCAUGGGGGCAAGAGCUGGGGCAAUGGGUGUUAUCUUCUCUCUCUCUCUCUCUCACUCACUCACUCCCAUUUCCUUUGAGACAUCCUGACCCACCACUCGUCUUCCCAUUCCAGAUCCCGAGUGAAAGGCCUGGCCACCUCUGUUGACAUGGUGAGCAGCUAAUGAACCUUUGGGAAGUUGCAAAGGGGACAGUUUGCAGGUAUCACUUCUGUCAUCGCUCAGAGGGCAGGAAUGAGGAUGGGAGAGCAGCCAUCUUAGCUCUGCUCUCCAUUUGUCUGUGAGAUUGCAGGGAGAGGCUCCUCCGUGCUCCUGAGAGGCCGAACACAGGGUCGCCAGCACAGCUUACUGCUCGGUGUCUCCUGAGCCACAGAGGAAGACGUGGCAGGAGCACCUGGUGCUAAUAUAUAUUCAUGUCUAUGGCAAUGCCGACCAUCUGGCUGGUCUGAACCAGGAUAAAAGUGAAGAAUUCCUCUGUGAAGACCCAGCUCUUUCUUUGGCUCCUUUUUUGAAGCCAUCUUUGCUCUGCUCUCCUCUGCUGCCCAGAAAGUUCCAGAGUGAAGCUCAGCUCUAGAUGAACAAAAACUGGUUGAGUCCAGAGAUGCCUGAGUUGGAGAUGAACCUUGCAAACUUUCCUCAUUACCAUACUAAAAACCCCACCCAGGAAGGAGCUUAUCUGCCAUUUCCUACACAUGUGACAUAUGGAGAAGCAUGAUCAGCUACUUCACAGUCUCUGCCUUUACUCUGCCUCCGCAUACAAUGGCUCAGCCAACUAGCCUAACGAAAGCUGUUUUCACCAUUGUUUGGGAGGUACUGCUUUGGGAAACUGCCCCAGCUGUCCUCCUUACUUGUUGUAGGUAAUAAAAUC
RNAcentral lists this long non-coding RNA (1325 nucleotides) under Homo sapiens (human). RNAcentral's name for it is "non-protein coding lnc-ZFHX3-27:8". Lineage: Eukaryota; Metazoa; Chordata; Mammalia; Primates; Hominidae. The record is from RNAcentral.